Molecule: non-coding RNA, 468 nt
Organism: Vicia faba (fava bean)
Lineage: Eukaryota; Viridiplantae; Streptophyta; Magnoliopsida; Fabales; Fabaceae
Source: the annotation of a GenBank genome assembly
AUGAAAUCAUUUUCCCUCUCUAUUAAAGACUCCAACAAUCUUGCACCUCCCUCCUCCUCUUUCCCUCGUCAGACCACCACCACCAACUCCUCCCUCUCUCGUCGAUCCCUCUGGCGACCUCUCCCUUUACACGCUCCUCUUCACCGUCCAUCUCUUCUCGGCGCGACCUCCCUCCGGCGACAACUUUCGUUCGGGUUCCUCCUUUCAUCUGGCGUAACCUCCCUCCAUCCGUGCUUCUUCUUUGUGGCUCUUCCUCCAGCUCUCCUCUGUGUCGCGCCUCCGCCGCCGCGCCCUUCCUCUUCUCCGGUGACGUUCUCCGUUCCAGACAACAUCACCUCUCAUUUUCAUCUUCUUCCUAUUUUCAAGAAUUGCUACAAGAGGUUACGACGAUUCCACAACUGUCGCAGAAACGUGUGUAGCAGGCCCUUUUGGCGACGGUUUAGAAAACUGUCGUUCCAACCGUCGUAG